This 141-nucleotide ribosomal RNA is filed under the name Dorcus montivagus. Its description in RNAcentral is "partial 12S ribosomal RNA". Lineage: Eukaryota; Metazoa; Arthropoda; Insecta; Coleoptera; Lucanidae. The record is from RNAcentral.
CACAUGAUAUACUUCUAAAUUGGGUUUGGGUGAUAAUUAUCUUUUUUGUUGGAGAUGAAAAUUUAUUAUAUAAGGUGAAAUUUUAUAAUUGGUUUAACUUGUUUUGUGAAUGAGACAUUAUUAAAUUUUUUAGGUAAACUA